Molecule: long non-coding RNA, 8159 nt
Filed under: Lactuca sativa (garden lettuce)
Lineage: Eukaryota; Viridiplantae; Streptophyta; Magnoliopsida; Asterales; Asteraceae
Description: long non-coding RNA (LSAT_LNC002733)
Source: RNAcentral
CUUAAGAUUAAUAGAAAAGUUAAUUGAAUAGUUGUUUUCAAUCCAUUUUAAUCUAAAAGUUGAUUCUAAAAUGUGUUUUUUGUAAUUUGUCCUCAAGUUACAUGAAAAGUCACAUUUAAGUUUCUUAAAACUCAUAAAAAAUUGUCAUAGGUUACAAAAUGAAGAGUCUUGUUCUUAUUAAAAGGUUUUAUGACUCCAUAACUUGUCCUCAAGUUGUGGAGGUACAAGAGUCUCUUCAUUAAAUAAAAUAUGUGUAACCUUAGUUAACUCAUAAAACUUCCAUAAGUUAUGAAUUAUGAAGAGUCACUUUCUUAAUUAGUUUAAAGUCUUCCAUAACUUGUCCUCAAGUUAUGGAACUUGAAGAGUUUUUUAAUUAAAACUACUUUAAACACAUAAGUUAUGGAAUAGAAAAGUUUUGAAAGUUACAAAACUUGCCCUCAAGUUUUGGAAUUUGAAAAGUUUUCUCUUAUGAAUACUUUAAUUCCAAGUUAUCCCUUCGAAUUUUAAAAGUUAAAAUUCAACCCUUAUACUUUAUAAUAUUAUAAGUUAAUAAUAUAUAUGUAUAAGAGUAAAGUCAGUCUUACCGCUAGUACGCCUCAUUCACGAAGCCGGUCUAUAAGGUGGGUAUAAGGUUGUUGCCUAUAAAAUGGCAACUUAAUGGGUGUCCACUCUCACCCACCGCUUGCUUGACUGGUGGAGGGUCGUUAGCCGAACGGGUUUGACAGGACUAGAAUUCUCCCUUCAUUAAAAGUAUUAAUGAUAAUACUAAGUAACUAAACUCUUAAUAAUACCCAAUCUUAGUUACUUAGGAAAAAUGUGAAUAAGGUGCUAAUCCAUGAAAUUACACUUUGCACUUUGUUUAAGUCGGUUAGUGGAGCGUGUGUGGUUAACCGGCACACUAACGCGUAUUUAACAAGGUAGGCAAAGGGUAACUUAAUGUUUAUCAUAGUAUCGAUGGAGCGUGUGUGGUUAACCGGCACAUCGAUUGAGGGGUAAACACUUAAGGGUACCAAGUAAUUUGCAUGGUUACUUCACACCUUGUUUUGUGAUCCUCGGCAUCCCAGUCACAAAACCUGAAGGGCACACUCGAGAUUGAAACAUGCCAUUGAACAGUUCAAUGAAUCUCAAAGAUCUAGGAGUUUCAAAACCAAUUAAAACCUAAUAAUACAUUUCGUUUAUCUUGGUGGAAAUUGGUGAAUCGUCAUUCACCUACCUUCAAAUAUUUUAUAGCUUGGAUUACGGCAUACCUCUUCUAAGUUAUAAAAUAGUUUGUUGGGUCCUAGCCUUAAUAUUUCAUAUUGGGUGUCAUAUUAAGGACUUUAAAUCAACUAUCUUGAAUAUCUCCCAAAAGAUGUCUGGUUUAGACACCUAUGAUCUUCCCAAAUCUCUUGAAACAAGGUUUCCUAAUGAAGAUGAUGUCCCAUGGAUAUCAUACUUCUUCACCUCUUCAAAUUAUUCUCCCUAACCCACAAGUUCUUGAAAAGUUUAAGGUCACUCAGGCCCUAUUAGCAAGGCAAGGUCUAGGUGUGGUCACAUCUUGGAGAUGUAGUCACAUAUUGACAAGCCGGGAGAGUUGGGUGUCAAAGUCUUGAGAAAGUUGGUGGUUCAAUCACUUUCUAAGUCACAUAGUGAGUUCCUUUGGGACACCUAUGAAACAGACUAUGACAAGACCCUUAAUGAUCUUAUCUAUUUGUUAAGAUCAACUUCCUAAAACUUUAUGGACAUUGACAAUGAUGACAUUGGAUAUCCAGUAAAGCAUUCUCUUCCCAAUGGAAAGGGAUCGGCUAUAGUCAACUCGGUUGACCAAAUGGUAAAGAGAAAAGCUAAGUCUGUGAUAGUCCUGUGUACCAUUAUCAAAGGGUCCAUAUGUUUGUAUUGCCAAAGAAAGGGCAUUGGUUGCGAAGCUGCCAAAUUUACCUAAGGAUGUUAAAGUCAAUAAGUUUGACUCUACUUCAGGUAAAAUCCACUAUCUAACUCUGUUAAGUUUCUAUUCUGAGAUUCUUGAUACAUGAUGUGACUGGGUCACAUGGUGAUGUUUUAAGAAUCAAAGAAAAGUGAAGAAACUUAAAGAAAGAAUAUGCUGAAUCUGAUGGCGUAGAUGGAUUUCUAUCGCAUAGUUUGAAGAUCGGAUUCUUGAGCUACUUCUUAGGAGUUAUGAGAUAUUGCUUAGGAAUAGAUAACAACAAGUUUUCAUAUGGAUUGUAAGGAUAAGUUUUUCCGCAAAGUUUUAAAAUAAAAGAAAAUUUUUUUGAUUUUAUUUAUUUUAAAAUAUCCUUACAAUGGCUUUUGAGGAAAAAUUGUUGCUUAUAUGAUUCCAUUAAGAGCAAGAGUGGAAAUAUGAAAUUGAUUCUUUCAUUUGUGGUAAUGUCUAAAUUUACCAAAUAAGGAAAGAUUCUCAUCACCCAAGUUUCAAUUGGACCGGAACUUGGAAUCAUGCAAGUUGUAUAGCAUGAUGAAUGAGAACUUUCAAGUUUUGGAAAAUUAAGACUAAUUACUUGUUCACAUGGAUGUGUGAGUCAAGUAAAGGACUUAGGGAUCGAGUACACAUUCUUGUGCACUGAUUAAGUCCACCACUAAAGAUCGAUAAGAAGAAUCAAAUAAGGCAGAAGGAUAAAAGUUUCUCAAAUCUGAAAAGAUGGGAGAGUACUUUAGUAUCAGUUUUGUGAUCAUCUUAAUGAUUAAGAAACCAUAUCAAAAUUAGUUCUCUAAGGAAAUCUUAGUGCAUUCUUAUGACUAAGAAGAGGAACUUGAAUUGUUGAAAUGGUUAAAUCAAGAAGAUGAGUCAUACUUCGUUCCAAUACAAGUCUUAGAGUCAUACUCCAAGAUUGUCAUUUGAGUGACAUGUCUUAAAGAAGGUUUAAAACACUUGUCAAAUGUAAGAGUAAAAGUUUUCUACUCUUGUACAUUUGAAAUUGGUAAGUUGUGAUGUUUUGGAUAAAACAAAGACCAACUUAGGCCAAUUGGGUAAAGUGUUUUUCUUGAUUAGAAUCCGCACUAUCUCUUGGAUGUUUGACAAGGGAGUCUUAUAUGUCAAGAGGACAGUGGGAGUCUUAAAGGUCUUGAAAGUCUCAAGAAAUAAUCAAGAAUAAAACCUAAAGUUCUUCACUAGCACACGACUUGAGGUUUAUAACCUAUCGUGUUGACAUAUCUGUGCCCAUUCCAGUUAAAGUUGGCUUUGCAUAUGAGUUCUUAGAGUUCUCAGUUUGUUGCAUAACAACUUGGAAGCAAUGGCAGGCCCUUGAGCUGCCAGGUGGCAAGAAGUUAAGAUUGAGUUCAAUCCAUAUGGUUUUGGAUUUGUCAUUAUCUUUGUCUUGUGAUUAUGGUUUGACAAAUUCAUAUGGGUAGGAACUCAUACACCAUAUAAAUCUAAGUGUCAUAAGGUUUCUCUCCGAUUCAUGAAAAUGAUGGUGAGGAAACGCUUUCACUAAGUAGAUUUUACGAAGAUAUCAAUUGUGUUAUUUGCAUUUUCAAAAGUCGUUAGUGGAGCGCGUGUGGUUAACCGGCACACUAACAUGGACUUGUGAGAAAUGGCAAAUGCCUAAGCAAUUGAGACCAUGAUUACGGUAUCCCUUUUCAUGGUUCUUGAAAUUGCUUAGACACACAGGUGAGCUAUCUACGGAAAGGGUGUAUGAAUCUAAAUUUCAGACUGUCCAGCUGAUUUCUGAGUACAUGUCAAAGCUAGUGGGAGCAUAAGUGUUAUGCUAAUAAUCAUCAUGUUAGUGGGAGCAUGAUAAUUAUGAUAAGUAUUGCAAGUUAGCAAUGUUAAUUAUAGAAAACAAAAGUUUCAAUUGGGAAAAAGUUGUUUUGCUAUAAUUAAGGGAGAGGAAAUUAUGCUUCAUCUCAAAUCUAUAAGCUUAGAUCGUGAGGUUUUAAUCAUUUAGUCAAGGAUAUAUAUGAAUUUCAUGUUGGAAUGGCUCAACAUAAGGAAAUUCUGUAUAUGGGUCCAUUAUUUGCGUUCUAAAAUUCGAUUAUGAUUACGGCAUCCCUUUUCAUAAUCUGAAUUAUGAGAACUUGGCAAAUUGAAAUGGAAAUAUUAUAGCAAAAGACUGGUUUAGUCUUUAUGUAAGACAUCAUGAAUCGUGUCCCAUAUGCUUCGGAUAUAGGAUCGAUUACAUGUGCUAUAUUCAUCCGUUCUAAAAUUUUCCAAAUGCCUGGGGCAUUAAGAAGGGAAAAGGUUUAGAACUGGAUAUGACUAAAAGGAUUAAACAAUUGUCGAGGACAAUCUAAGGUUUACCAAAGAUUGGUUACUCAAGGACAAUUGGAAGUAUAGUGAUAAUUCUGGAAGGACCAUAUUGACAUAAUCUGUAAGGAGGCAACUCUUGUUCAGAAGUGAUAGUCAAAAUGGAAUCUGGAAAUGUUUCAAAGUUAGAAUUUUCAAUCUGUGUAAGAUUAAGGAAACUUAAUGCAAGAAGGAUAUUUCCAAGGAGUUGAUCUCCUUUGGAAUACUCUGUAAUGAUUGUUGCCAAGUCUUUGUGACUUUGUGCAUAAUCAUUACAAGAGGAUCAAUGCAUAUAAGUUUAGAAUCUAACAGAUUUCAGUAAAUGGCAUGAAUUUGGAAUUCUUGCAUUUGCAGUAAGGAUUUGGGAGUGUGAAAAGAGAAUCAUUGAAGUUAUGUUCAAUUGAUCUAGUUCACAAAGUAAAGAUCAUAGACAAACAUAGUAUGCAUACUUGGUGUGUGGCAUGACUAGUGUUUAAGAAAACAUAGUGUACAUGCUUGGAGCAUGGGACAACUAUUGUUUUAAAUUCAAGAAUAAAGUUGAUAGCUGAAACAGUAUACAAUGAAUAAUGUGUAAUCAUAUGGUGAUAAAUAAAAGGUGUUUUAUUUAUGUUCAAAGGGUUGAUACCAUAUUGGAUUCAAUUAUUAUUGUGUUUCAUUUUGCAUGUUUUGACUUCCCGAAUAAACUGGGUUAUUCUUCCGGAAUGACUAAGUUAUUCAAACCAUCCACAGUCGGUCAUAUGUUGGAAGUAGAUAUGAAUUAAGACUGUCAUGGGUUGGCUUGUAGAGGUCUAAGGUGUUGGACAAAGGGCUACAACACUCAUGAGUGCUCAUAAGUUCUGAGUAUUGGAUUCAACCCGCGCUCAUUGGAAUCACUUCAUGGAUUUUAUCACGAGUGAUCAUGAGACGAUAAUAUCUUAUAUUCUUCAAACCUAGAGAUAUGAGUUGUUACUAUGAGUUGAUAGUACAUUGAUUGCACGAAAACGCAUUUGGUAACUCGGUGCUAUAAAACGUGCCUUUGUGUAUGAUUCAACAAGUAGUAGAACAAGCCAUAUGAGUCGAAGUUUAUCCAUUCCUUUUACCUUCGGGAUAAAAGCGAUAUCUGUGGGCCCCUCGAUGAUUUGAUGAUGACAAAUGGAAGUGCUCGGCCGGGCCAGGACUGAUUUGAUUUGUUCAAUUAGUCAGUCGUCAUAAAUCGGAAAUCGGGAAACAACAAAUGGACAGAGAGAAUGAUUAUAAUCCAUGUCUCAGUCCAUAUGAUAUCUAGAAUGGAGGAAUAUAUGAUCCCUUAUCUAAUGGACAAGUCAUUGACAAAGGUCAGAGUUCAUCUACAAGGUCAGAGUUCGACAGAAGCUUUUGAGAGCUACGAUUGCCAGUUGGUUCCUGAAGUCAUACGCAAUAAUAGUUUUAGACUUAUCCAAGUGGGAGACUGUUGGAUUAAUGUCUAAGUCCAUAACUAUAAUUGGUAAGACUUGACCCGACCCGGCAUGGUCCAUUUGGGUUGCAUACCAUCAUGCACUUGGAUAGACUAUAAUGAGAGAAAUAAGACACUUAUGGUUAUUAAUAUAUUAUAAGUUCUAGUAUAUUAAUAAUAAGAAUAAUAAGAUUAUUUAAUUAGUAUUGAUCAAGAAUUAAUCUAGGAUUAAUUAAGUGAUCAAAAGAAGACUAAUUAAAUAUAUGGGUUGAUUGUGUAAAUCAUCCAUACUUGUAUAGUGGGCUAAUGCUCCAUGGAUAAUCAAGUUGGGCUAAAACCCAUAGGAUGGUCCAUGGAUGCUCCAUGGUGUAUUUGUACCCAUGGAUCCAAGGAAAUGGAAAGCCAUGACAAUUAAGAGUUUACCCUAAUUGUGUAACUAUAUAAGCAUCUUAUUAUUGAGGAAAAAUCGGCCACUAGUGAUAGUGAAGAAAGGGCUAGCCGAUUUUGAAGAGUGUAGAAUUCUCUCAAGUCAUUCCAAGUGUUUUGAUGAUUGUGAUUCCAUUUGAGGUGUCACACUUGGGGCACUAGGCACUCAAGCUUCAUGAAGACUUUCUACAUCAAAGAGGUAUGUAUUCUAUCUUGUUAUAGUCAUUGUUUUGUAUGCUAGAUUAGGAUAAUACCUUGGAAGUUCUUAUUUGCAUGUAUAAUAGAGAAAACAUAGAUCCAAGGUAUUUAGGGUUGCAUGUACACUUAGGAGUGUUAGAAUGCUCAAAACCCAACAGUGGUAUCAGAGCCUAGGCUUGUUUUCUUGUUAUACCUGCAAUAGAAGCUGAAAAAACGAAUCUGGUGCUGUCUGGCCAUCAGACUCGGCGAGUCCAUCAGGAGACUCGACGAGUCCAUGCCUAAAAAGUGAUGAAUUCGAUCCAACUCGCCGAGUUUGUUCAUGCACUCGACGAGUUGGACCCCCAGACAGCAUAUUUUCGAGUUUUUUGGCUAGAAAUGGACUAGGAACAUUACCCUAAGUUGUUUUUGAACUUAUAAACUUGUUUUUGAUGUGGUAAUGUUCAUGCUAAUCCAUUUUCAAAGAUAAUUGUCAAUAGAUUCAUGUUUUGUAUUAGUUUAAGGUUUAGACUAAUUACAUGAAAAAGUUUGAUUUGAAUUAUCUUGUUCUUAUGAGUUGCUUAGAUUAAUAGAAAUGUUGAGUGAAAUAGUUGUUUUCAAUCCAUUUUAAUCUAAGAGUUGAGUAUAAAAUGUGUUUGUGUAACUUGUCCUCAAGUUACAUGAAGAGUCACAUUAAAGACUCAUAAAACUCAUAAAAGUUGGCAAUGGUUACAAAAUGAAGAGUCUUGUGUCAUUGAAUAAUUUUUUUUGACUCCAUAACUUGUCCUCAAGUUAUGGAAGUUCAAGAGUCACUUCAUUAAAGAAAAAUAUGUAACCAUAAUUAAAUCCAUAAGUUAUAAAAUAAAGAAAAAGUUAGUUCUUUUAUUAGUUUAAAGUCUUCCAUAACUUGUCCUCAAGUUAUGGAACUUGAAGAGUUUUUGGAUUAAAACUACUUUAAACACAUAAGUUAUGGAAUUAAUUAGUUUUGAAUAGUUUCAAAACUUGCCCUCAAGUUUUGGAAUUUGAAAAGUUUUCAAGUAUGAAUACUUUAAUUCCAAGUUAGCCCUUAGAAUUUUAAAAGUUAAAAUUCAACCCUUAUACUUUAUAAUAUUAUAAGUUAAUAAUAUAUAUAUGUAUAAGAGUAAAGUCAGUCUUACCGCUAGUACGCCUCAUUCACGAAGCCGGUCUAUAAGGUGGGUAUAAGGUUGUUGCCUAUAAAAUGGCAACUUAAUGGGUGUCCACUCUCACCCACCGCUUGCUUGACUGGUGGAGGGUCGUUAGCCGAACGGGUUUGACAGGACUAGAAUUCUCCCUUCAUUAAAAGUAUUAAUGAUAAUACUAAGUAACUAAACUCUUAAUAAUACCCAAUCUUAGUUACUUAGGAAAAAUGUGAAUAAGGUGCUAAUCCAUGAAAUUACACUUUACACUUUGUCUAAGUCGUUAGUGGAGCGUGUGUGGUUAACCGGCACACUAACUUGGACUUAACAAGGUAGGUAAAGGGUGACUUAAUAUUUAUCAUAGUAUCGAUGGAGCGUGUGUGGUUAACCGGCACAUCGAUUGAGGGGUAAUUUAUUAAGGGUACCAAGUGAUUUGCAUGGUUACUUCACACCUUGUUUUGUGAUCCUCGGCAUCCCAGUCACAAAACCUGAAGGGCACACUCGAGAUUGAAACAUGCCUUUGAAAAGUUCAAUGAAUCUCAAAGAUCUAGGAGUUUCAAAACCAAUUAAAACCUAAUAAUACAUUUCGUUUAUCUUGGUGGAAAUUGGUGAAUCGUCAUUCACCUACCUUCAAAUAUUUUAUAGCUUGGAUUACGGCAUACCUCUUCUAAGUUAUAAAAUAGUUUGUUGGGUCCUAGCCUUAAUAUUUCAUAUUGGGUGUCAUAUUAAGGACUUUAAAUCAACUAUCUUGAAUAUCUCCCAAAAGAUGUCU